AUUGAACGCUGGCGGCAUGAUUUACACAUGCAAGUCGAACGGUAACAGGCCGCAAGGUGCUGACGAGUGGCGCACGGGUGAGUAAUGCAUCGGAACGUGCCCAGUCGUGGGGGAUAACUACUCGAAAGAGUAGCUAAUACCGCAUACGAUCUAUGGAUGAAAGCGGGGGACCGUAAGGCCUCGCGCGAUUGGAGCGGCCGAUGUCAGAUUAGGUAGUUGGUGGGGUAAAGGCUCACCAAGCCAACGAUCUGUAGCUGGUCUGAGAGGACGACCAGCCACACGGGGACUGAGACACGGCCCAGACUCCUACGGGAGGCAGCAGUGGGGAAUUUUGGACAAUGGGCGCAAGCCUGAUCCAGCAAUGCCGCGUGCAGGAAGAAGGCCUUCGGGUUGUAAACUGCUUUUGUACGGAACGAAACGGCUCUGGUUAAUACCCGGGGCUAAUGACGGUACCGUAAGAAUAAGCACCGGCUAACUACGUG
Molecule: ribosomal RNA, 482 nt
Filed under: uncultured bacterium
Lineage: Bacteria
Description: partial 16S ribosomal RNA
Rfam family: Bacterial small subunit ribosomal RNA
Source: RNAcentral